RNAcentral lists this long non-coding RNA (1687 nucleotides) under Homo sapiens (human). RNAcentral describes it as "HSALNT0313804". Lineage: Eukaryota; Metazoa; Chordata; Mammalia; Primates; Hominidae. The record is from RNAcentral.
CCUCAGCUGUAUCUGAAUUAAGAACUGAACUCUAGCUGAAUCUGGACUUUGAAGAUUUUCUUAGCCUUAAUUAUUCAGCUAUAAGAAAACCUACUCCUCGACUAUCUGUUUUCCCCUCACAAGUAUUAAUUAACUCACCAGAGGAAUAUUUUGCUCAGAAUCCAAAUGGCACAAUAACUGUCACUGAAAUAUGCACCAUCUCUAUGGAGACUGUGAGGUCUCUGGUGCUCCAAUGCCUGAUUUUGUACUUGAAUCAUCUUCUAAUGAAUAAUGAGAAGAUUGUCCCUCUUUUAGUAAUACAAGAAUGUAAGUGGAAGUGAUACAUCAAUAACGAAAAAUAUUUAUUUUUCUUCAAAAUCCAUUACCAGAAGUGUUUGUAUAAGUCACGUAUUUUUUUAAAUGUAAAUCAAUGUAUUAUAUAUGCAUGGUUAAAUGAAUCAAAUAAUGAAGACAUCUCUACCCUAGUCCUGCUUCCUGAGGCAACUGUUCUUAUAUGGCAAAUGUUAAAUUGAUCUACGGUCUCCACUGGAUUUUUGCCACAAUUACUGAAGAUUGAGCUCUUUUUACACCUCCCUCAACUUUUUCUCCACCAUUUUCCUCCCAAUAUAGUUUUUUUUUUUUCCCUGCUUACCUCUACAACUUUGAACAGCCUUGCCAAAUCUGUUUUUUGUUUGUUUGUUUGUUUCAUCCACCAUACAAUUUAGGGAGAAGGAAAGCAAAAAGUUAGGUAGACGGCUAAGGCUAGUCCUUGGAGAAACAGCUGAAAAAUCACAGCUACAGGCACAAGUAGAGCAGCCUGGGGAAAACUCAGGCUGCAGCUGCACAGAUAAGGAGGCAAGGUCCAGCAUGGAAGCCUUUUGUUCUUUUUGUGAUUGGUGGGAUCUCAGGAAAAAGUUACCUCCCCUUUUCAGACAUGUACACGGUGGGCUCCACGGGCGCUUUCACAGGGAGGGGAGGGGGACUUACCUAAAACAAAUCCGCAGUUACACAAACAAGAGAAGCUGUGCUUUGAGCUUACCUGGAGACAUAUCUGUAGCUGCAUAGAUAAGGGAAAUUACACAGACAGCUGUACAGAUAAGAGAAUUUGCUCAAGCAGCUACAGAGUUAAGAGGAGUUUCUUAUAAAAGCUUCUGAAUUCAACUGUAAAACAGCACCCCACUGGGGCUCCCCUCUCUGCUGCAGAGAGCUUUCUUCUUUCACUUAUUAAAUUUUUGCUUCAACCUCACCCUUUGUGUAUCCAUGCUCCUUAAUUCUCUUGGUCGCAAGACAACAAGCUUGGAUAACACCUCAAACAACAAGACCAUUGACCAUUGACCCAGUUUCAGAAUGUCUCUCUUAGCUGCCCAUUCCUGUUUGCUCUCCUUCCUUCCAAGCUCUGUCACCUGUAUUUAUCUUCUGUUUUGUAACAAUAAUUUAAUUAUAACAAUAGUUAAACAGGGUAUAAUUUCCUCACAGGAUAUUUCUAACAGUAGAAGCCAAUAAGCAGUAUUUAAAUAAUUGUUUUUAUAUUAUAGCAAAUAAUCUUUUGAAAUUAAAGUAUUUAUUCUCCAUAUAGUCACUGUAAAUACUGAUAUUUUGGGGUUUUAAUCUACCACGUUACUAUUCAUUUUCUAUUAUCUCUCACCUGUUUAAUGUUCUUUUCUCUCUUUCCUUGAUUUUGAGUUAUUUUUAAAAAUUUUAUUUCCCC